UUUCCGUAGGUGAACCUGCGGAAGGAUCAUUAAUGGGAAAUCAAAUCAAAACAAAUGUUCUGUUGCACUGGGUGUGCUGUGUGGUGGUGGUGUGAGACAUGGAGAUUCAAUCAUUGGAGAUUCAAUCAUUGGAGAUUCAAUCAUUGGAGAUUCAAUCAUUGGAGAUUCAAUCAUUCAAUCUCAAUCAUCGCCACACAACACAACUAUCUAUCACACUCGAUCAACAACAACACACUCACACAAACAGCAAACAACUUUUAACAAUGGAUCUCUUGGCUCUU
Molecule: unclassified non-coding RNA, 281 nt
Filed under: plant metagenome
Description: partial contains small subunit ribosomal RNA, internal transcribed spacer 1, and 5.8S ribosomal RNA
Source: RNAcentral